AUUCAUUGAAUUGAACCGAUUAAUAAAAUUUGAUAUCCUUAAUUUUGUGGGUCGAGUAAGUGACAAAAAAGGGUCCAGUUCCAGUGAUGCUUAAUAAUUCAGGAUGAAUUUGUCCUGUAGGCGCGGCCGUAGAUUUUCCUAAUCUAUCAUCUCUAGCGACACACAAGUGUCGUCAUCAUCAUCUUCUCCUCCCAGUUCCCAAUUCCCGAUUCCCGAUUCCCAAAGCCCUAAUGAAGAGCAUGGAAGGUGGAACCAAGUCCUAAAGAUAGGGAGAGAGGCAUCUUCGCGAAAGUCCAAGGCUGACUGAAAUUAGAAUCAGCCAGGGCAUGGGGGCUGAGUUUAGGAUAACGAAGAUCAUGGUGCCCAUGCUGACCUAAGACCCGAAUUCAUCUCUCUCUUGUCUGUUUUGGUUGGUGGGUUUUUUUCUUAUAUAUAUGGCAACGGCGUCUCUUAUUCACGCUCGUUGCUGUUACUCUCCGAGGCUUCGUCUAAAAAAUGGAGGGCAUGGACAUGGACAUGUAGGAUCCUCCUCUCAUUCUUCUUCUUCGUCAUCCUCUUCGCCUCCUUCCUCUUCGGAUUCUUGUUCCUCCUUUAAUCAUCGUCAGGGUUUGACCUUCUCUGGCAUAAACAGUACUUGGAAGCAUAAAAGCCUCAGAGCUCAAGCUAUGAGUACCACUCAAGGGAAUGCUGCAUCACCCAGGGGCUUUAUGCAUGGGAAGUAUGAACCUGAUCAUCUCCUUGUCCUUGUUCAUGGCAUCUUGGCUAGCCCAAGUGAUUGGACAUAUGCAGAAGCAGAGUUGAAAAAGCGUCUGGGAAGAAACUUUUUAAUUUAUGUAAGUUCAUCUAAUACUUACACUAAAACCUUCGGUGGGAUUGAUGGAGCUGGAAAACGAUUAGCGGAUGAAGUUACGCAAGUUGUGCAAAAGACACAGAGCUUAAAAAGGAUCUCCUUUUUAGCCCAUUCCCUUGGUGGUUUGUUUGCAAGAUAUGCAAUUGCUGUCCUGUAUACACCAAACACUUCAAGCAUUAGUCAAUCUGAUGAUCUUAAGAAUUCUAAGAAAGAAAAUUCACAAUCAUCAUGCUCUUCAAGACGAGGUAUGAUUGCUGGAUUGGAGCCAAUCAAUUUUAUUACCUUGGCAACUCCACAUCUAGGGGUGAGAGGGAAAAAGCAGCUUCCAUUUCUACUGGGGGUUCCCAUCUUAGAAAAAAUUGCUGCACCAAUUGCUCCUAUUUUUGCUGGUCGAACUGGAAGUCAGCUAUUUCUCACUGAUGGUAAACCCAACAAACCACCUCUUCUUCUGAGGAUGGCAUCCAACUGUGAAGAUGGAAAAUUUAUAGCUGCUCUGGGCGCAUUUAGCUGUCGCAUUCUUUAUGCUAAUGUCUCUUACGAUCAUAUGGUUGGAUGGCGCACAUCCUCUAUUCGUAGGGAGACAGAACUUGUUAAGCCCCCUCGCCGUUCUUUGGAUGGUUACAAGCAUGUUGUAGAUGUGGAGUAUUGUCCACCAGUUUUGUCUGAUGGUCCCCAUUUUCCUCCAGAAGCAGCCAAAGCAAAGGAGGCAGCACAAAAUGCUCCCAGCACACAAAGUACAGUAGAAUAUCAUGAAAUUUUGGAAGAGGAAAUGAUACAUGGCUUACAACAGCUAGGAUGGAAAAAAGUUGACGUCAGCUUUCAUUCAGCAUUCUGGCCCUUCUUCGCCCAUAACAACAUUCAUGUGAAAAAUGAAUGGCUCUACAAUGCUGGUGUGGGAGUGGUUGCUCAUGUUGCUGAAAGCCUGAAGCAACAAGAAUCUUCUACAUUCAUUGCUGCUAACUUAUAGCAAAGUGUGAGUGCCUAUACAGCUGAAACAUGUUUGUACAAUGAUGCAAUAUAACAAUUCAUAAUUUUAUUUAUCUUGGUCAUUGAUAAAAUCUCUCUCUCAUGAUGUUGGCUUACCAAAUGAUUUACUCUUUUGCUAGAAAGUUGGAACUGCAUCACCUCUUUUUUAAUGCAUGAUGAAGCAUUUGUCUUACUAAGUUUACGUUUUUCUGCCAGAAGGGCCUCUUUUGUGUCAUUGUGUCUACAACAUGGAUUUGGUGCCAUGAAAGAGGAAGGGGGACAGAGCCUGUUUGGAUUCUUUGUUGGAACUCUGUUGGAUGGGAAAUGGCUGCUCACUGUCACCAGCAUUAGCUAUUUCCUUGAGCUCCUCUUUAUCCACAUUUCCAGGAGAGGAAUAAAAGAUUUGGUGCAAGUGCAACUUAGUUGCUAUCAGAGCCUGGUCUUCAAAAACUUGCUACUGAAGAUUUUUGUGCGUAUUCUGUAUCUAUACAUUGGGCUAUAAUCAGUCUGCUUAACAAAAGUUGGAACACAGUAGUCCAACAUGAUGGCUCAAAUUCUUGAAGGAAGGAAGGAGUUAAAAAGUAAUUCUCCUGCAAAGUGACCAAUAAAGUUACAAUUUAUUGCA
Molecule: RNA transcript, 2441 nt
Organism: Vitis vinifera (wine grape)
Lineage: Eukaryota; Viridiplantae; Streptophyta; Magnoliopsida; Vitales; Vitaceae
Gene name: putative lipase C4A8.10
Exons: 12
Source: RefSeq, a predicted model, not a curated record